Molecule: transfer RNA, 68 nt
Filed under: Podagrica sp. BMNH 848524
Lineage: Eukaryota; Metazoa; Arthropoda; Insecta; Coleoptera; Chrysomelidae
Description: tRNA-Tyr
Source: RNAcentral
GGUAAAAUGGCUGAGAUAUAGGCAAUAAAUUGUAAAUUUAUGUAGGAAAUUAAAAAUUUUUUUUAUCA